RNAcentral lists this ribosomal RNA (253 nucleotides) under uncultured bacterium. RNAcentral describes it as "partial 16S ribosomal RNA". It matches the Rfam family "Bacterial small subunit ribosomal RNA", at positions 524 to 776 of the family's 1533-position model. The record is from RNAcentral.
UACGUAGGUGGCAAGCGUUGUCCGGAUUUACUGGGCGUAAAGAGCUCGUAGGCGGUUUGUCGCGUCUGCCGUGAAAGUCCGGGGCUCAACUCCGGAUCUGCGGUGGGUACGGGCAGACUAGAGUGAUGUAGGGGAGACUGGAAUUCCUGGUGUAGCGGUGAAAUGCGCAGAUAUCAGGAGGAACACCGGUGGCGAAGGCGGGUCUCUGGGCCGAUACUGACGCUGAGGAGCGAAAGCGUGGGGAGCGAACAGG